GAUGAACGCUGGCGGCGUGCCUAAUACAUGCAAGUCGAACGCAUUGUGGUUGAAAUGAUAUGAAGAACUUGUUCAGAUUUGAUUUUCAACAUUGCAAUGAGUGGCGAACGGGUGAGUAACACGUGGGAAACCUACCUCUUAGCAGGGGAUAACAUUUGGAAACAAAUGCUAAUACCGUAUAAUAAUUAAAACCGCAUGGUUUUAGUUUAAAAGAUGGUCUUGCUAUCACUAAGAGAUGGUCCCGCGGUGUAUUAGUUAGUUGGUGAGGUAAUGGCUCACCAAGACAAUGAUACAUAGCCGAGUUGAGAGACUGACCGGCCACAAUGGGACUGAGACACGGCCCAUACUCCUACGGGAGGCAGCAGUAGGGAUCUUCCACAAUGGACGAAAGUCUGAUGGAGCAACGCCGCGUGUGUGAUGAAGGGUUUCGGCUCGUAAAACACUAGUUGUAAGAGAAGAAUGACAUUGAGAGUAACUGUUCAAUGU
RNAcentral lists this ribosomal RNA (486 nucleotides) under uncultured bacterium. RNAcentral describes it as "bacterial SSU rRNA". It matches the Rfam family "Bacterial small subunit ribosomal RNA", at positions 28 to 475 of the family's 1533-position model. The record is from RNAcentral.